RNAcentral lists this ribosomal RNA (253 nucleotides) under uncultured bacterium. Its description in RNAcentral is "partial 16S ribosomal RNA". It matches the Rfam family "Bacterial small subunit ribosomal RNA", at positions 524 to 776 of the family's 1533-position model. The record is from RNAcentral.
AACGUAGGUGGCAAGCGUUAUCCGGAAUUACUGGGCGUAAAGGGUGUGCAGGCGGGGUUGCAAGUGGUGUAUGAAAUAUCCCAGCUUAACUGGGAGGGGUUAUGCCAGACUGCAACUCUAGAGGACGAGAGAGGGGGGUGGAACUGCGAGUGUAGAGGUGAAAUUCGUAGAUAUUCGCAAGAACACCAGUGGCGAAGGCGGCUCACUGGCCCGAUACUGACGCUGAGGCACGAAAGCGUGGGGAGCAAACAGG